Molecule: non-coding RNA, 77 nt
Organism: Potamilus streckersoni
Lineage: Eukaryota; Metazoa; Mollusca; Bivalvia; Unionida; Unionidae
Source: the annotation of a GenBank genome assembly
GACUGUUCCGGUGGCCGAGCGGUUAUAGCUACCGCCUCGGAUGCGGGAGGUCGCGGUUUCGAAAAAUGGCCGAGUCA